UGAUUUGUAGAAAAGUUGUGUGAUAUAGGCGGCAAAGAAGCAUGCAACGUGGAAGUGGGUGAACACAUAAUGAACCAAAAUCAGACUAGAAAGUGGUACCGCAUGGGUCUCAUCGACCAAUACACAAAAUGUCCAUGUCUUUGCCUCUUCGCUUCCAUUCCUCGUCUUUCUCUCUCUCUUCUCUUGGGGCUGUGAGGAAAGUGCUAGGGAGUUUUAUAACAGAUAUUGUUCGACCAACUAAUGGAAAUUGGCACUUGGGAAGAAGAGGUGGAAGACUUGUGUCGUUUAAGGGUUGUGCGAGGCUUGUACAAACGACGUGUCGAAUCUCUGUCCCUGGGACCUCCCCAAGAAACAAUGAGAAGGCCUUGUCUAAUAUCUCCAGGGAUAAGAAGACAAUUCCAGAAGCGGAUCCUCCCAGUAUUAAAGAUGUUCACCUUUUGUAUGAAUUUUUGGACCAGAGUACCAAACUCACAGUAUUGACUGGAGCCGGAAUUAGUACAGAGUGUGGCAUCCCCGACUAUAGAAGCCCCAAUGGAGCUUAUAGUUCUGGAUUCAAACCAAUAACCCACCAGGAGUUUCUCCGUUCAAGUCGAGCUCAGAGGAGAUAUUGGGCAAGGAGCUAUGCUGGAUGGAGGCGAUUUACAGCGGCACAACCAUCUGCUGCCCAUACUGCUUUGGCAACAUUAGAUAAAGCUGGCCGAAUCCAUCUUAUGAUUACACAAAAUGUUGACAGGCUGCAUCAUCGUGCUGGUAGCAAUCCAUUAGAAUUACAUGGGACUGUAUACACUGUAAUUUGUAUAGAUUGUGGAUAUUCCUUUUGCCGGAGCUUAUUUCAGGACCAGUUGAAGGACCUUAAUCCAAAGUGGGCAGAAGCAAUUGAAAAUUUGGACCAUGGAAACCCUGGGUCAGAUAAGAGCUUUGGCAUGAAACAAAGGCCUGAUGGUGAUAUUGAGAUUGAUGAAAGAUUUUGGGAGGAAGAUUUUAUCAUUCCAACUUGUCACAAGUGCAGUGGAGUUCUCAAACCUGAUGUUGUCUUCUUUGGUGAUAAUGUUCCAAAGGACAGAGCUGAUAUGGCAAUUGAAGCGUCUAGAAAAUGUGAUGCAUUUCUUGUACUUGGGUCAUCCCUGAUGACCAUGUCUGCUUUUCGCCUUGUCAGUUUACUUCAACAGGGCAGCUCAUGAGGCUGGUGCAGCUACUGCGAUUGUGAACAUAGGUGUGACGCGUGCUGAUGCUUUUGUUCCCUUGAAAAUCAAUGCACGAUUGGGUGAGAUCCUGCCAAGAGUGCUUGACAUGGGAUCUAUAAGCAUACCUGCUGUUUAAUGAUAUUAGAUGAAAGGAUGUAUCAAGUUGUAUUUGAACCAUUCAUUGUUCACUUGCCAAAUUUCUUAUUCGUUGUGUUGUUCAGGUAAUGUCUGAAUGUUGCCAGCCUCUUCAAUUGACAUCUCUUCCCUAACUCCGCAGAUUCUGUAUAUGCCAGUUUCCAUCAUAAUCCCCCAAAAUUAAAAUGCAUUCAUUUUGGCUGAAGCAAUGUCAACUACAGAAAUCAUGAAGUGAUGCUUGCUGAGGAUGAAUACACAUGCAGAUGAUUGUUGUAGGUUAAAGAAACUAAAAUACUAUAUUUAUAAAUAAUUUUGAGAUAUUUUGGCUAGUGCCAAUUUAAAUUUCAUUGAUUAAAUGCUUCAAGGUAGCUUAAAGAAAGGAAUUACUAUCGUUCUCAUUAGUGAUCUAAUGAAAAAUUGCUCCAAAUUCAGUAAAUUCUUGUUUAAUGUAAUGAUAUUGACGAGGAAUCAAUAAAACGCAAUUGUUAUUCGUGUUUUC
RNA transcript from Cajanus cajan (pigeon pea), 1818 nucleotides. It is a transcript of the gene named sirtuin 2, with no coding region annotated. The record is from RefSeq and is a predicted model, not a curated record. Lineage: Eukaryota; Viridiplantae; Streptophyta; Magnoliopsida; Fabales; Fabaceae.